RNAcentral lists this ribosomal RNA (754 nucleotides) under Flaviporus liebmannii. RNAcentral describes it as "LSU rRNA". It matches the Rfam family "Eukaryotic large subunit ribosomal RNA", at positions 128 to 871 of the family's 3401-position model. Lineage: Eukaryota; Fungi; Basidiomycota; Agaricomycetes; Polyporales; Steccherinaceae. The record is from RNAcentral.
GCUUUGUNGUCCGAGUUGUAGUCUGGAGAAGUGUUUUCUGUGUUGGACCGUGUACAAGUCUCUUGGAAUAGGGCAUCAUAGAGGGUGAGAAUCCCGUCUUUGACACGGACUGCUAAUACUUUGAGAUGCGCUCUCAACGAGUCGAGUUGUUUGGGAAUGCAGCUCAAAAUGGGUGGUAAAUUCCAUCUAAAGCUAAAUAUUGGCAAGAGACCGAUAGUGAACAAGUACCGUGAGGGAAAGAUGAAAAGCACUUUGGAAAGAGAGUUAAACAGUACGUGAAAUUGCUGAAAGGGAAACGCUUGAAGUCAGUCGCAUUGAUCAGAACUCAGCUUGGCUUUUGCUUGGUGCAUUUUCUGGUCAAUGGGCCAACAUCAAUUUUAACUGCUGGAUAAAGGCUAAGGGAAUGUGGCACCUUUGGGUGUGUUAUAGCUCUUGGUCACAUACAGUGGUUGAGAUUGAGGAUCUCAGCAUGCCUUAUGGCCGAGGUUUACCUACGUUCAUGCUUAGGAUGUUGGCAUAAUGGCUUUAAACGACCCGUCUUGAAACACGGACCAAGGAGUCUAACAUGCCUGCGAGUGUUUGAGUGGAAAACUCGAGCGCGCAAUGAAAGUGAAAGUUGGGAUCCUUGUCGUGAGGAGCACUGACACCCGGACCAGACCUUUUGUGACGGAUCCGCGGUAGAGCAUGUAUGUUGGGACCCGAAAGAUGGUGAACUAUGCCUGAAUAGGGUGAAGCCAGAGGAAACUCUGGNGGA